AUAAUAAAAAAAGAUAAUAAUUUGCAGAUAAACAAUAUCCAAUUAGAAAUUAAAAAUACUAAUCUGAAUUUAUUUAAAUUUGAAUGACAAGCAUACAAGCAAGUUGUCAAACAGAAUUAAAUGCAAAAUAUAUAUGUAUAUAUAUUUUAAUGGAUUAACACCGUCAGAUUUAAUCACAAUCAGAUAUAGAAUACGCCUUAGAUUGUUAGAACAAAUAUCGCAUAGGAAUCUGAUUGCAAUUAAAAUCUAACUAAUUUUGUAAUAAAGAUAAAAUUAAACUUACAGAUAAAUGCAAAUAUCCAAAUAAAGAUAUGAUCUUAUCCGGAAGCGUGCGAGGCACUGCUCUAAGGCGUAUUCCCGUCCUUACGUGCGGGAUUAAUCGGAAAUAACACCCCAAGGUACGACCGGAAUUCCUCCUCCUGUGAGCACGAGCGUGAAGGAGGUUGACGGAGAUUCUCAACACCCAGUAGAUAAGGGGAAUGUUCAAAAAUGAAAGAUAAAAAUGAAAGAUAAAAGAAUAAAUGGAUAGAGAUUAACCAAUGAUCAAAAAUCUUUUCUACCUGCUCUAUUUUUUCUAUUUGAAAAACAAAGGUGGAAAAGGGGAAGGGGAUUUAACGUCCUUUUUCGUUACGAGAAAAAGGCGUAUCCCGUGCAACGGAAUGAGAUUCCGUUGACGCAAGAAACGGACCAAGAAAUUGAACGGGAAAAAUAUCCCGUUAAUUUCUUUCUCAUUAAGAAACAUAAUAAAAUAAUUAAAUUAAAUAAAAUAAAUAAAGUAAUAAAUAAAUAAAAUAAUAAAUAAUAAAUAAGAAAUAAUAAAACAUCAAAGUGCAAAUAAAAUAAAUUCAAACUUAAAAUUUUGAGUUUUCACCAACAGAUAUAGGCACAAAUUGAAAAGAAGAGAGAGUAUAAAGGAAUGUACGGUAAGGAAAUACAGAGGAUAGUCGUAGUAGAGGAGGAGAAGAAAAAGCAUGUAGAGGAGGAGGGUUGAUACCUUCGCAGCAAAGAUAGAGAGAGAAGUAAAGGAGAGGGAGGAGAAAGAGAAGGAAAUGCUUCAAGAAGAGAGAUAGAUACAAGGUAAGUGAAAUAUGAUUUGGAGAAUAGCAGCUAGGGUUUAGUUUACUAAUAUUCUGUUCACAUAUUAGUUUACUUAUUUUUGUUGCUCAGAUUGUGGAGAGAUAGAUUUGGGGAUUUGGGAUUUGUAUUCCUCUGAGCUCAAUAAACUAUUUUACUCCAUGGCUGCUGCUGCUUCUUCUUCCUCUUCGUCGGCGCUGGUGGCGGAGGCGGUGAGCGGAUCCCACCGGUUCAA
This 1309-nucleotide long non-coding RNA is filed under the name Ananas comosus (pineapple). RNAcentral's name for it is "long non-coding RNA (ACOM_LNC040527)". Lineage: Eukaryota; Viridiplantae; Streptophyta; Magnoliopsida; Poales; Bromeliaceae. The record is from RNAcentral.